UACGUAGGGUGCAAGCGUUGUCCGGAAUUAUUGGGCGUAAAGAGCUCGUAGGCGGUUCGUCGCGUCGGCUGUGAAAACCCGGAGCUCAACUCCGGGCCUGCAGUCGAUACGGGCGGACUUGAGUGUUGCAGGGGAGACUGGAAUUCCUGGUGUAGCGGUGAAAUGCGCAGAUAUCAGGAGGAACACCCAGGGGGAAACCAGUCGACUGGGCAUCUACUGACGCUGAGGUGCGAGAGCGUGGGGAGCGAACCGG
This 253-nucleotide ribosomal RNA is filed under the name uncultured bacterium. RNAcentral's name for it is "partial 16S ribosomal RNA". It matches the Rfam family "Bacterial small subunit ribosomal RNA", at positions 524 to 776 of the family's 1533-position model. The record is from RNAcentral.